Molecule: ribosomal RNA, 604 nt
Filed under: Lauterborniella agrayloides
Lineage: Eukaryota; Metazoa; Arthropoda; Insecta; Diptera; Chironomidae
Description: eukaryotic LSU rRNA
Rfam family: Eukaryotic large subunit ribosomal RNA
Source: RNAcentral
UUCAAUACUGCCGUUAAAAAGCAGUGUGCACUUUUCUCUUAGUAAGACGCCGUGAUCCAUUAGAAAUUGAUGUGCGUUCAUUCAGUACAUGUUGGGUCAUCAAUAGGUCAAUAUGAAGUUUAUUUGGAACAAAUGGCAUAAUCUUUAACGGUUGUGUGUAUUGUCUGGUAAGCAUAUUGUGUCCUGUAAUGACUGUCUGAUGGAUUUUAAAGAUCAUAUYAUUUAUGUCCUUGUGGCAUUAGUUCUCUUUAUUGAGAUAUACGAUAUGUGUCUGAUCAACGGUGGUUAAAUUUGGGAUACCUUUUGGACCCGUCUUGAAACACGGACCAAGGAGUCUAUCUAGUAUGCGAGUAAAUGGGUAAUUAAUGAAACCUAUUUGCAUAAGAAACUUGACUGUUGUGUGUGGGAUUACGAGAUAAUGCAUUUAUGUGUAUUAUUUCUUCCAUCCCGGGGUAUUUUCAUCAACAUAUGCCGUUAAAAAGUAUAUGGAAAGUAUACCAUGAGCACACUGGAUACGACCCGAAAGAUGGUGAACUAUGCCUGAUCAGGUCGAAGUCAGGGGAAACCCUGAUGGAGGACCGAAGCAGUUCUGACGUGCAAAUCG